This 163-nucleotide ribosomal RNA is filed under the name Pilea plataniflora. Its description in RNAcentral is "5.8S ribosomal RNA". It matches the Rfam family "5.8S ribosomal RNA". Rfam says of the family: 5.8S ribosomal RNA (5.8S rRNA) is a component of the large subunit of the eukaryotic ribosome. RNAcentral also lists the same sequence under 1 other name. Lineage: Eukaryota; Viridiplantae; Streptophyta; Magnoliopsida; Rosales; Urticaceae. The record is from RNAcentral.
UAACGACUCUCGGCAACGGAUAUCUCGGCUCUCGCAUCGAUGAAGAACGUAGCGAAAUGCGAUACGUGGUGUGAAUUGCAGAAUUCCGUGAACCAUCGAGUUUUUGAACGCAAGUUGCGCCCAAAGCCAUUCGGCCGAGGGCACGCCUGCCUGGGCGUCACGC